RNAcentral lists this ribosomal RNA (507 nucleotides) under uncultured bacterium. RNAcentral's name for it is "partial 16S ribosomal RNA". The record is from RNAcentral.
GGAGUUAGCCGGUGCUUCUUCUGUGAGUGAUGUCCUUCCUGCCGGCUAUUAACCCGCAGGCCUUCUUCCUCACUGAAAGUGCUUUACAACCCGAAGGCCUUCUUCACACACGCGGCAUGGCUGGAUCAGGGUUGCCCCCAUUGUCCAAUAUUCCCCACUGCUUCCUCCCGUAGGAGUCUGGGCCGUGUCUCAGUCCCAGUGUGGCUGAUCAUCCUCUCAGACCAGCUACGGAUCGUCGCCUUGGUGAGCCGUUACCUCACCAACCAGCUAAUCCGACAUAGGCUCAUCCGAUAGCGCGAGGCCCGAAGGUCCCCCGCUUUCCCCCGUAGGGCGUAUGCGGUAUUAGCCUGGGUUUCCCCAGGUUAUCCCCCACUACCGGGCAGAUUCCUAUGCAUUACUCACCCGUCCGCCGCUCGCCACCAGGGAGCAAGCUCCCCGUGCUGCCGCUCGACUUGCAUGUGUUAGGCCUGCCGCCAGCGUUCAAUCUGAGCCAGGAUCAAACUCUGA